UGGCCUUUUGAUUAUAAUUUAAGGUCUAAUCUGCCCACUGAUAAAUUAAAUGGCCGCAGUAUUUUGACUGUGCAAAGGUAGCAUAAUAAUUAGUUUCUUAAUUAGAAGCUGGAAUGAAAGAUUGAAUGAGAAAACGACUGUCUCAAAUUAAUUUAUUUAGAAUUUUAUUUUUAAGUUAAAAAGCUUAAAUAUUAUUAAAAGACGAGAAGACCCUAUAGAGUUUUAUUUGAUUUUAUUAAUGAAUAUAAUUGAUUUAAAUAUUUUUAUUUAUAGAUUGAAUUUUGUUGGGGUGACAAAAAAAUUAAAUUAACUUUUUUUAUAUUUUAACAUUAAUUAAUGAUUUAUUGAUCCAAAAAUUUUGAUUAUAAGAUAAAAUUACCUUAGGGAUAACAGCGUAAUUUUUUUUGAGAGUUCUUAUCGAAAAAAAAGAUUGCGACCUCGAUGUUGGAUUAAAGUUAAGUUUUGGUGUAGAAGCUAGAAUAUUAGGUCUGUUCGACCUUUAAAACUUU
This 509-nucleotide ribosomal RNA is filed under the name Callimerus sp. 3 NLG-2013. Its description in RNAcentral is "partial 16S ribosomal RNA". It matches the Rfam family "Bacterial large subunit ribosomal RNA", at positions 1859 to 2597 of the family's 2925-position model. Lineage: Eukaryota; Metazoa; Arthropoda; Insecta; Coleoptera; Cleridae. The record is from RNAcentral.